Non-coding RNA from Chlorocebus sabaeus (green monkey), 3971 nucleotides. NCBI's taxonomy places the organism in Eukaryota, Metazoa, Chordata, Mammalia, Primates, Cercopithecidae. The record is from RefSeq and is a predicted model, not a curated record.
UCAGCAGAUAUUGAGAGUCCCUGACCCACGGUGAUGGCUUCUUGUACUAUUGUUUAAUGAAAGGAGAUCCUUUUAGCAGAAAUCACUCAUGAUUCAGCAGUCUAGAAGCCAUCAUGAGAAAAGAGUUGGAGUGGAUGGUUUUAAUGCAGAUGGUCUCAAAACGAUAGCUAAGUGUAUCUUUCAGAUGUUCUGCUCUCGCCCCUGGGGACUAACUCUAACAUCAUAGCUUAUGUUCAGCCUGACACCAGGGAACAUAUGAAAAGCAAAUACACUCCAGCACUCCAGCAAUGUAUAUAUUACCACAAAACAUGAGAUAUUAGUUAUUUCUCUUUAACCAAUACGAUUUAACCAAUAUUGAGUGGCCUAUGCUUAUGUUAUAAGUGAACACUUCAUCAUUUACUCAUUCAUUGAUUCAAAAUAUUUAUUUAUCCUUUCAUGUAUCAGGCACCAGAACAGUCCCAUAAGCCAACACAUCAGUGUCUUUAUAACCAAAAUUUACCAUGGAAACAGGCAAAUCAUUUUUAUAGAGUUAUUGUUUGUACCUCAACAUCUUUGAGACAAAUACUUUAAAGCGUAUUUUUGGAUGGAUUUUUUGACAAAGGAAAUCUUCCAGUUUUAACUUUUUGGGACAAAAUGUAUUUAUGAAUAUUGGCUGUAAUUAUUCUAGAGUUUCUAUUAUAAUUACAAAAUUCUGGUGCAGUGGUUCUUAACCCUUUAUACUUAUGACACACAACUUCCAAAUCCGAAAUUUCUGGCUGUGUACAUGAAGGCAAUAAAAGAUGAACAAUGGAUAAAAAAUCAGUACAGAAUUAUUUUUAAUAGAGAAAUUAAUGAAGCAAACCUACCGCAGAAGGAGAUUACUUAAAAGGUAAGGUACCUCCAUGUGAUGAAAUAGUACAGAAUGGAUUAAAGUUUUUUAAAAGGAAAUGGAAAAAUGCUCAUAAUAUAUUACUUACAGAAAAAGCUGAAUGUAAAACAAUAGCAGUAGUAUGAUGCUUUUAAAGAUGUAUAAAUAUUCACAUUGACUGUUUUUCUCCAUCCCUGCGCACUUCAGGGUGGUAGCAAAGUAAAGGAAAGCAAAAGAUUGCCUCAGUUGUCCUGAAUGCUUUCCCAGGCACAGGGAGUCUGAGUAUCUGCUUUUCUCAGACUUGAGUUUCCAAUUUCUGGUGAUUUCUUCCACAUAUAAUGCUGGAAUAUCCUGGGAGAAACAAUAUGGAUGUGUCACUAAAAGAUGUACUACCUGGCAAUGACUCGAACCAAAGUGAUAGGUCAUCAGCUAUUUUAUUUAGAAGUCAUUUCCACAUACCACAUCAUGCCUGGUGGCACAAACACCAGUGAAAUCCCACAAUAACUUUUUCCCAGGGGAGACUCACUAGACCAUACAUACUCCCAUUCCUUAUUAGUGUUUUUCUCAUUUGUGGUUGGUUUUUCUCUUAUUUAACAUAAGGCGGUGGUUCUCAGAGUAGGGCUCCCUGGACCUGUAGCAUCAGCAUCACUUGUGAAUUUUAACAUUUUAAAAUUUUUACUAGUUAGGAAGAGGUCCUUCUUUCCUUUUGAAUUGUCCUAAUACUGUUUUCACUCAAAAAUGUAUAGGAUCAUGAUAGCUAGAAUGUGCAUAUCUCUUAAUUUAUGCUGGACACUUCUCUAAGUGCCUUCCAAAUUUUAACUUAUUUAAUCUUCAUAAUCACCAUAUGAAAUAGGAACUACUAUUUCCCUAUUUUACAGAAAAAGAAAAUUGAACACCAGGAAAAUGAGUAACUCAUCCAAGAUCAUACAAUUAUAAACAUGCUCAUAGGAGAAAUACUGGAAGCAAAUAUAAAAUGUUAGCAGUGAUCAUAUCUGAUUAUUUCCAGGUAUAUGACCACAGAUGGCUUUAAAUUUUUUUAUGUGCCUUUCUAUAUUUUCCAAAACAUACAUAUUACAGUUGUUAUCAGAAAAAAAUCCAAAAUAUUUUUGAAAAGAACUAAGACAGACAUUUCAGAGAAGACCAGGAGUAAGGGCGCACCAGAAAAGAAGAAUAAAGAGCUGUAAUUGAAAAAACUUCUUCCUCAUGAUUGGAUCCUGGAAGCCACUGAGCAAGUGAGGAAAUGAAGAGUCCCAGGUACGGGGGCACUGAGCAUCCAAACUGGAAAUCCAGGGAUGGCAUGACAUUGAGCAAUCUGAUCUUUCUAAUGUCCUAAUAGGUUUUGCAACUUAUUUUCUUUGUAGGUAGCAGUGGAUAAGUGCAUUUAAUCACAGUAUUUUCAGGAGACAUUUGAUGGAACAGAACCCAGCUCUCUGUAUCCAGGGUAUAAAAAGCUUGGCCGUAAAAUAAUGCCCUGACUCAUCUUUAAUUAGGUGUGCAGUGUGGGAAAGAAAUGAAUGUCUUCCUGUGUAUGGGAGGUAUGGAGAAACCGCUAUAAGUUUUCAAAAUAGUCCAUUAUUAACAAUCUGCACUGAAUCGAUUGGUACCCACAGCUCAGUCAAUGUUUAAACAAGCUGGACAAUAGCUGAAGUAAUUAUUUGGGGUAAAUUAUUGCCAUUGUAAAAUGUAAUCAAUGUUUUAUUUCAACAAAAAGAGAUCUUUUUCUUGAUUUCUCUUUUCUCCCCACCUUUCCUCAGCUUUAUCUCCCUACCAGAGGUCUGGAAGAAGGAUUUUUUUGUUUUCUCCCCCAUAUUGGCAAGAGUGCUUCAGCUCCAUCUGAACAUAGCAAGACAGGACACAUCUUGUAAAGAUGAAGAGUAGUAGCUGCUAAAUUAUUGUCAAAUAUUUUGGAAAUAUGAAAUGCUGUACAACAAUAGUCAUUUGCAUGGUAAUGGGCAAGAACCAGGUCUUUAUACACCAUUACCACAAGUAAUUAACAAGAAGAUUAGGCACAAUAGUCUGUGUUUGGGAGCCAUGGUGGAGACUGGCAAAUGCGUAGGAUCAUCACAUUUUGGAGUUCUCAGUCCCAUGUACAAAGUCCAACUAUCUGAGGCCACCAUGCACUGAGGAUGUCCAGUCCACCUGGAGAGGCUACCAGAUAUGUGAAUGAAGAAGUCAUCUUGAAAAUGGAUCUUCCAACCCAUGUUGUCUAGCUAUGGCUGUUUGAGUCUCCUCGUGCAAGCCCCAGGCAUCUUGGAAUGGAGAAGAGCUGAGCCACUGUGUCCUCUGCAAAUUCUCAAUCCACAAAACUCAUGAAAAUAAUAAAACGAUUGUGUCUUUGUGCUACUAAAUUUAGGGGAAAUUUGUUAUUCAGCAAAGAUGAUUAGAACAAGAGAUCACAAUUUGACUACCGUAUUCCAGAAAUGACACAGAUCCAGAGAGGUUAAAUAAAUCAUUUUAUUCAAAUGAAGACUUAGUGGCAGAGUCAUUCUUAAGUACUGGUUUAAAGAUCCAUGCGCAGUUCACUACAUCAUGUACCUUCCUAGCUCUUGACAUCAGCUCUGAAUAUUUGCAUAGUUAAGACUUGACUUCAGGCUUCUGUACUCAAGGGGCAUACAUUCUAAGAAGUAUUAUGCUCAUAUAGUAAGCUAUGAGGAAAUUAAUUACAUUAUAAGCCUAGCAGAGAGGAUUCUGCUGCAGACUUUAGGUAGUGAGAGAUAUUGGAAACUGCCAGAGAAGGGACAGAGAUGAAGAAAUGGAAAUAGAGGGGAAGUGAGAGAGUUCUGCUGAGACUGAAGCCUUGCAGGGGAGGGAGGGGUAAGCAGCAGAGCAGGGGCGAAGUCAUGAGACACUGGUGGAAAAAGAAGGGUUGAAAUUGCUUCAACUCUAUUCAGGCAAACAACUGUGUGUCGACAAGAAGAAGGCUGAUAAGCAGCUUUAGACUGUCUAUAGCUAAAGGGGAAGUGAGAGGCGGGCAGCAUAUGGAGCAGGAAAGAACAGAGGGAACCAGCAUGAGCGGAGAGAGAAAGUUGAGGAGAGAGAUGGGGAGCCCAAGCAAAGAAAUAGGAAAACAGUUGGCCCUAAGUGUCCAAAGAAAUUAGGAAGAAUUGGAGACAGUGGGAGAUGA